Molecule: non-coding RNA, 171 nt
Organism: Triticum aestivum (bread wheat)
Lineage: Eukaryota; Viridiplantae; Streptophyta; Magnoliopsida; Poales; Poaceae
Source: Rfam
GCAAGGAAGAGGAAGAAAGAGAGGGCGUAAGAGCAGUGGGAAUGAGAACAUAGAGGAAAGCCUAACUUAAUGGUUCUUCACCUCUUGUCUUGAGGUGGCAAUUCAGUUUGGCAUUUCCCGAUGCCUCUCAUUCCUAUCGUUCUUAGGCGCUCCUUCCUCUUCCUUAUUGUU